GACGAACGCUGGCGGCGUGCUUAACACAUGCAAGUCGAACGGAAAGGCCCUGCUUUUGUGGGGCGCUCGAGUGGCGAACGGGUGAGUAUCACGUGAGUAACCUGCCCUUGACUUUGGGAUAACUUCAGGAAACUGGGGCUAAUACCGGAUAGGAGCUCCUGCUGCAUGGUGGGGGUUGGAAAGUUUCGGCGGUUGGGGAUGGACUCGCGGCUUAUCAGCUUGUUGGUGGGGUAGUGGCUUACCAAGGCUUUGACGGGUAGCCGGCCUGAGAGGGUGACCGGCCACAUUGGGAAUGAGAUACGGCCCAGACUCCUACGGGAGGCAGCGGUGGGGAAUAGUGCACAAUGGGCGGAAGCCUGAUGCAGCAACGCCGCGUGCGGGAUGACGGCCUUCGGGUUGUAAACCGCUUUAGCCUGUGACGAAGCGUGAGUGACGGUAAUGGGUAAAGAAGCACCGGCUAAAUACGUG
RNAcentral lists this ribosomal RNA (468 nucleotides) under uncultured bacterium. RNAcentral's name for it is "partial 16S ribosomal RNA". It matches the Rfam family "Bacterial small subunit ribosomal RNA", at positions 28 to 507 of the family's 1533-position model. The record is from RNAcentral.